This is a long non-coding RNA of Hyla sarda, 572 nucleotides long. RefSeq lists it as uncharacterized. The record is from RefSeq and is a predicted model, not a curated record. The transcript has 4 exons. Lineage: Eukaryota; Metazoa; Chordata; Amphibia; Anura; Hylidae.
ACAGGAAAGAACUUUUCUGCACCAACACUCAUCUGAGGACAAUCAAUCCACCAAAAUACUAUUUCAGAUCAAAGCCUGGUGGCCUGUAGACCCCUCUCAGAUGCGUGUCCUCCCAGGUUCACGGUGGUGUAGUGUUCAAUAGGUUCCCGGUGAGCCUACCAUAAUCAUAUCUGAAGCCUAACAGCAUAUUUACAUCUCUCGACUCGGACUGCACAUAAAACGGAGCCUCAUGCGAGAUAUUGCGGACCUUACCACAACUGAGUGUCUGCCGCGGGAUGAACAUGCUGAAGCCCAGGCGUUGGUUUUUAGUUGUUCCUACCAGGUCACUAUAAUAUUCAGAGAAACAGAAAGCAAAAAAUGGACAAGCACACCCAGAAUCUAAUCACAUGGUAAGUAUUACGCAAAAGUUGAUUCAAUAUUCAUGUACUGACAUAAAUAAGAUAUUAUGUCUAGCUCUUCCUAAGAAUGAAACAUACUUAUUUAUGCACGGGUAUUAAAAUAAUUUCACAGUUUCUUUCACAUCAUCCUUGGUGACUCAUAUACAAGUAAAAGAUAAUAUAUCCAGAAACAGA